AACAAACGCUGGCGGCGUGCCUAAUACAUGCAAGUCGAACGAAGAAAGCUCUUCGGAGCAAGUAAGAGUGGCGCACGGGUGAGUAACGCGUGGAUAAUCUGCCCUUUAGUGGGGAACAACCUAUCGAAAGGUAGGCUAAUACCGCAUAAGACCACAGGAUCUGCGGAUCUAGUGGUUAAAGAUUUAUCGCUAUUGGAUGAGUCCGCGUAUGAUUAGCUUGUUGGUGAGGUAAUGGCUCACCAAGGCUCCGAUCAUUAGCUGGUUUGAGAGGAUGAUCAGCCACACUGGAACUGAGACACGGUCCAGACUCCUACGGGAGGCAGCAGUAGGGAAUAUUGCGCAAUGGGGGAAACCCUGACGCAGCAACGCCGCGUGUGUGAUGAAGGCUUUAGGGUCGUAAAGCACUGUCGUAAGGGAAUAUAAUGAAGGUACCUUACAAGAAAGGACCGGCUAACUUCG
This 459-nucleotide ribosomal RNA is filed under the name uncultured Bdellovibrio sp. RNAcentral's name for it is "bacterial SSU rRNA". It matches the Rfam family "Bacterial small subunit ribosomal RNA", at positions 29 to 505 of the family's 1533-position model. The record is from RNAcentral. Lineage: Bacteria; Pseudomonadati; Bdellovibrionota; Bdellovibrionia; Bdellovibrionales; Pseudobdellovibrionaceae.